Molecule: ribosomal RNA, 249 nt
Filed under: Escherichia coli
Lineage: Bacteria; Pseudomonadati; Pseudomonadota; Gammaproteobacteria; Enterobacterales; Enterobacteriaceae
Description: partial 16S ribosomal RNA
Rfam family: Bacterial small subunit ribosomal RNA
Source: RNAcentral
AAAUUGAAGAGUUUGAUCAUGGCUCAGAUUGAACGCUGGCGGCAGGCCUAACACAUGCAAGUCGAACGGUAACAGAAAGAAGCUUGCUUCUUUGCUGACGAGUGGCGGACGGGUGAGUAAUGUCUGGGAAACUGCCUGAUGGAGGGGGAUAACUACUGGAAACGGUAGCUAAUACCGCAUAACGUCGCAAGACCAAAGAGGGGGACCUUCGGGCCUCUUGCCAUCGGAUGUGCCCAGAUGGGAUUAGCU